Molecule: ribosomal RNA, 373 nt
Filed under: uncultured bacterium
Lineage: Bacteria
Description: bacterial SSU rRNA
Rfam family: Bacterial small subunit ribosomal RNA
Source: RNAcentral
GUAGGGGGCUAGCGUUGUCCGGAAUCAUUGGGCGUAAAGCGCGUGUAGGCGGUUCGGUAAGUCGGCUGUGAAAGUCCAGGGCUCAACCCUGGGAUGCCGGUCGAUACUGCCGGACUAGAGUUCGGAAGAGGCGAGUGGAAUUCCCGGUGUAGCGGUGAAAUGCGCAGAUAUCGGGAGGAACACCAAUGGCGAAGGCAGCUCGCUGGGACGUUACUGACGCUGAGACGCGAAAGCGUGGGGAGCAAACAGGAUUAGAUACCCUGGUAGUCCACGCCGUAAACGAUGGGCACUAGGUGUGGGAGGUGUCGACUCCUCCCGUGCCGGAGCUAACGCAUUAAGUGCCCCGCCUGGGGAGUACGGCCGCAAGGCUAAA